AGAGUUUGAUCCUGGCUCAGGAUGAACGCUGGCGGCGUGCCUAAUACAUGCAAGUCGAGCGAACGGACGAGAAGCUUGCUUCUCUGAUGUUAGCGGCGGACGGGUGAGUAACACGUGGAUAACCUACCUAUAAGACUGGGAUAACUUCGGGAAACCGGAGCUAAUACCGGAUAAUAUUUUGAACCGCAUGGUUCAAAAGUGAAAGACGGUCUUGCUGUCACUUAUAGAUGGAUCCGCGCUGCAUUAGCUAGUUGGUAAGGUAACGGCUUACCAAGGCAACGAUGCAUAGCCGACCUGAGAGGGUGAUCGGCCACACUGGAACUGAGACACGGUCCAGACUCCUACGGGAGGCAGCAGUAGGGAAUCUUCCGCAAUGGGCGAAAGCCUGACGGAGCAACGCCGCGUGAGUGAUGAAGGUCUUCGGAUCGUAAAACUCUGUUAUUAGGGAAGAACAUAUGUGUAAGUAACUGUGCACAUCUUGACGGUACCUAAUCAGAAAGCCACGGCUAACUACGUGCCAGCAGCCGCGGUAAUACGUAGGUGGCAAGCGUUAUCCGGAAUUAUUGGGCGUAAAGCGCGCGUAGGCGGUUUUUUAAGUCUGAUGUGAAAGCCCACGGCUCAACCGUGGAGGGUCAUUGGAAACUGGAAAACUUGAGUGCAGAAGAGGAAAGUGGAAUUCCAUGUGUAGCGGUGAAAUGCGCAGAGAUAUGGAGGAACACCAGUGGCGAAGGCGACUUUCUGGUCUGUAACUGACGCUGAUGUGCGAAAGCGUGGGGAUCAAACAGGAUUAGAUACCCUGGUAGUCCACGCCGUAAACGAUGAGUGCUAAGUGUUAGGGGGUUUCCGCCCCUUAGUGCUGCAGCUAACGCAUUAAGCACUCCGCCUGGGGAGUACGACCGCAAGGUUGAAACUCAAAGGAAUUGACGGC
This 928-nucleotide ribosomal RNA is filed under the name uncultured bacterium. RNAcentral's name for it is "bacterial SSU rRNA". It matches the Rfam family "Bacterial small subunit ribosomal RNA", at positions 8 to 917 of the family's 1533-position model. The record is from RNAcentral.